RNAcentral lists this ribosomal RNA (458 nucleotides) under uncultured bacterium. Its description in RNAcentral is "partial 16S ribosomal RNA". It matches the Rfam family "Bacterial small subunit ribosomal RNA", at positions 338 to 795 of the family's 1533-position model. The record is from RNAcentral.
CCUACGGGAGGCAGCAGUGAGGAAUAUUGGUCAAUGGGCGAGAGCCUGAACCAGCCAAGUCGCGUGAGGGAGUACUGCCCUAUGGGUUGUAAACCUCUUUUGUCGGGGAGCAAAAGCCGGACGUGUCCGGCUGUGAGAGUACCCGAAGAAAAAGCAUCGGCUAACUCCGUGCCAGCAGCCGCGGUAAUACGGAGGAUGCGAGCGUUAUCCGGAUUUAUUGGGUUUAAAGGGUGCGCAGGCGGAUUGUUAAGUCAGCGGUAAAAUCGUGGGGCUCAACCCCAUCCAGCCGUUGAAACUGGGGAUCUAGAGUGUGCGAGAGGUAUGCGGAAUGCGUGGUGUAGCGGUGAAAUGCAUAGAUAUCACGCAGAACCCCGAUUGCGAAGGCAGCAUACCGGUGCACAACUGACGCUCAGGCACGAAAGCGUGGGUAUCGAACAGGAUUAGAUACCCGUGUAGUC